RNAcentral lists this ribosomal RNA (465 nucleotides) under uncultured bacterium. RNAcentral describes it as "partial 16S ribosomal RNA". It matches the Rfam family "Bacterial small subunit ribosomal RNA", at positions 28 to 507 of the family's 1533-position model. The record is from RNAcentral.
GACGAACGCUGGCGGCGUGCUUAACACAUGCAAGUCGAACGGAAAGGCCCCUUUGGGGGUACUCGAGUGGCUAACGGGUGAGUAACACGUGAGUAACCUGCCCUUGACUUCGGGAUAACUUCAGGAAACUGGGGCUAAUACCGGAUAGGAAUCCUUGCUGCAUGGUGGGGGUUGGAAAGCUUCGGCGGUUUUGGAUGGACUCGCGGCUUAUCAGCUUGUUGGUGGGGUAGUGGCUUACCAAGGCUUUGACGGGUAGCCGGCCUGAGAGGGCGACCGGCCACAUUGGGACUGAGAUACGGCCCAGACUCCUACGGGAGGCAGCAGUGGGGAAUAUUGCCAAAUGGGGGGAAGCCUGAUGCAGCAACGCCGCGUGCGGGAUGAAGGCCUUCGGGUUGUAAACCGCUUUCAGCAGGGGCGAAGCUUGUGGUGACGGUACCUGCAGAAGAAGCACCGGCUAACUACGUG